UACUGGGGAAUCGAACCUGGGUCUCUAGGCUUCGCAGGCAAGUGCCUUAACCACUAAGCCAUUAUUUCAGCCCCAGAAGAGUUUUUGAAAUGGUUUGAGGCCUUGCUCUGUUCACUCCAGAAAAAGAUUAUAGAAAUUUCAGACAUUU
RNAcentral lists this small nucleolar RNA (148 nucleotides) under Jaculus jaculus (lesser Egyptian jerboa). Its description in RNAcentral is "Small nucleolar RNA SNORA9 (ENSJJAG00000005829.1)". The record is from RNAcentral. Lineage: Eukaryota; Metazoa; Chordata; Mammalia; Rodentia; Dipodidae.